RNAcentral lists this ribosomal RNA (531 nucleotides) under Staphylococcus aureus. RNAcentral describes it as "partial 23S ribosomal RNA". It matches the Rfam family "Bacterial large subunit ribosomal RNA", at positions 623 to 1153 of the family's 2925-position model. Lineage: Bacteria; Bacillati; Bacillota; Bacilli; Caryophanales; Staphylococcaceae. The record is from RNAcentral.
GCGAGUUACGAUUUGAUGCAAGGUUAAGCAGUAAAUGUGGAGCCGUAGCGAAAGCGAGUCUGAAUAGGGCGUUUAGUAUUUGGUCGUAGACCCGAAACCAGGUGAUCUACCCUUGGUCAGGUUGAAGUUCAGGUAACACUGAAUGGAGGACCGAACCGACUUACGUUGAAAAGUGAGCGGAUGAACUGAGGGUAGCGGAGAAAUUCCAAUCGAACCUGGAGAUAGCUGGUUCUCUCCGAAAUAGCUUUAGGGCUAGCCUCAAGUGAUGAUUAUUGGAGGUAGAGCACUGUUUGGACGAGGGGCCCCUCUCGGGUUACCGAAUUCAGACAAACUCCGAAUGCCAAUUAAUUUAACUUGGGAGUCAGAACAUGGGUGAUAAGGUCCGUGUUCGAAAGGGAAACAGCCCAGACCACCAGCUAAGGUCCCAAAAUAUAUGUUAAGUGGAAAAGGAUGUGGCGUUGCCCAGACAACUAGGAUGUUGGCUUAGAAGCAGCCAUCAUUUAAAGAGUGCGUAAUAGCUCACUAGUCGAG